This 553-nucleotide ribosomal RNA is filed under the name uncultured bacterium. RNAcentral's name for it is "partial 16S ribosomal RNA". It matches the Rfam family "Bacterial small subunit ribosomal RNA", at positions 355 to 895 of the family's 1533-position model. The record is from RNAcentral.
UGGGGAAUAUUGCACAAUGGGCGCAAGCCUGAUGCAGCCAUGCCGCGUGUGUGAAGAAGGCCUUCGGGUUGUAAAGCACUUUCAGCGAGGAGGAAGGUGGUGAGCUUAAUACGCUCAUCAAUUGACGUUACUCGCAGAAGAAGCACCGGCUAACUCCGUGCCAGCAGCCGCGGUAAUACGGAGGGUGCAAGCGUUAAUCGGAAUUACUGGGCGUAAAGCGCACGCAGGCGGUUUGUUAAGUCAGAUGUGAAAUCCCCGGGCUCAACCUGGGAACUGCAUUUGAAACUGGCAAGCUAGAGUCUCGUAGAGGGGGGUAGAAAUUCCAGGUGUAGCGGUGAAAUGCGUAGAGAUCUAGAGGAAUACCGGUGGCGAAGGCGGCCCCCUGGACGAAGACUGACGCUCAGGUGCGAAAAGCGUGGGGAGCAAAACAGGAUUAGAUACCCUGGUAGUCCACGCUGUAAAACGAUGUCGAUUUUGGAGGUUGUGCCCUUGAGGCGUGGCUUCCGGAGCUAACGCGUUAAAUCGACCGCCUGGGGAGUACGGCCGCAAGGUU